AGUUUGAUCAUGGCUCAGGACGAACGUUGGCGGCGUGGAUUAGGCAUGCAAGUCGAACGAAGACAGUUGGGUAGCAAUAUUCGACUGGACUGAGUGGCGAAAGGGGCAGUAAUGCAUGGGCAACCUUCCUCGGGGAUGGGCAUAGCCGUUCUAACGGACGGGUAAUUCCCAGCGAUUUGGCGAAGAGGCAUCUCUUUGCCAAGAAAUGGAUUCCGCCUCGCGAGGGGCUCAUGUCGUAUUAGCUAGUUGGCGGGGUAACGGCCCACCAAGGCGAAGAUGCGUAGCGGGUGUGAGAGCACGACCCGCGCCACUGGCACUGAGACACUGGCCAGACACCUACGGGUGGCUGCAGUCGAGGAUCUUCGGCAAUGGGCGCAAGCCUGACCGAGCGACGCCGCGUGUGCGAUGAAGGCCUUCGGGUUGUAAAGCACUGUCGAGGGGGAUAAAAGCGCAAGCUUGAUAGAUCCCUGGAGGAAGCACGGGCUAAGUUCGUGCCAGCAGCCGCGGUAAGACGAACCGUGCGAACGUUGUUCGGAAUCACUGGGCUUAAAGGGCGCGUAGGCGGCUUACCAAGUCAGGGGUGAAAUCCUGCAGCUUAACUGUAGAAGUGCCUUUGAUACUGGCGAGCUUGAGGG
Molecule: ribosomal RNA, 635 nt
Filed under: uncultured bacterium
Lineage: Bacteria
Description: bacterial SSU rRNA
Rfam family: Bacterial small subunit ribosomal RNA
Source: RNAcentral